Microcebus murinus (gray mouse lemur) is the source of this 1149-nucleotide non-coding RNA. The record is from RefSeq and is a predicted model, not a curated record. Lineage: Eukaryota; Metazoa; Chordata; Mammalia; Primates; Cheirogaleidae.
CCUAAGCCAAUCAACGCAAGACAUGCUCCUGGAGCCUGUGAUUGGCUCAGGAGUAAGCACGUGACCCAAGAUGGCCCCCGCUAGGCGGAAGGGAAGGGCCUGCCCUGGGUGGCUGGUGGGGACCCCUGUCAGUCCUUGACUCGGUGACUCUCCGGUUCCUCCCUUGGCUCUGCCACACAAGAAUGAGGACGCCUGGAGUCCUGAUGGUCACAGCCAUCCUACUGGAAUAGGGCUGCCAGAGUACAUACAGGAAGCCCGUUAAAUUUGAAUUUCAGUCCCCUCCAGGUCAGAACGAUGAGACGCAGGGACGACGGGACAGCCAUAUCUGCAGCCAGCGAGCCCCGGGCUGCGACACACCUGAAGGUUGCAGGGGCAGGGGAGGAGCAAGGAGAUGGUGAAGGCAUUUGUGCAACGGACACCACCAGGUGCAGCGGCCGGGACCUGUGUCAGGGUCCUGCUCUGCCGAGGGCUCAUCCCGGCUCCCUCCACCAUCCAGAGGGACAAAGUCACCCAAAGCCACAGCCAGGCAGGAUCUGAGUUGUGGGGUUCCAAGAGCCCCGAGAGGAGGACACACUGCAGGUUCUCAGCCUCCUGCACCUGCCUGGGGCUCGUCCUGGCUGUCCUUGCCUAACAGGUGACUCCCUGCCUUCCCAGCUACCCCGCCCAAGCGCUAAGCACCCAUUUCGUGGUACAUGACCCCCACAGGAACAUCUGGGGGGGCUCCUGCCUUGGGCACUGGCCGGGGACGUCCAGCCUGGGGGAGCCUCACACUCACAGUGGCCACAGAUUCCCCCAAUCCCUGAUGUUCUCUAACUGCAAAAGAAAAUCCCACCCCUGCCCGCGUGCAGCCCGCUUCCCUCCCACACCUGCCUCAGGGCUGCGUCACGAGGCAGCUAAGGUGGAGAGGCCCUGAGCUGGGAGCCAGAGGCCGGGACUGGAAUCCCCUGGCCUCCCCCAAACCCGGCAACCACGCGAGAGCCACUCAGCCCCAUUUCACGGGGAUCGACAGACACUUUCCAUGGCGCUGUGAUGCUCAAAGGAGAACCUGCACAAAAGGGUGUCUGUGGUGUCUGAAGACCACAUAGAGUUUGGGGUUACUGUUACUCUUGAAGGGGUCAACUACAGAAAAAAAAGUUUCGAAAGAAUUAA